Long non-coding RNA from Vidua chalybeata, 2293 nucleotides. RefSeq lists it as uncharacterized. NCBI's taxonomy places the organism in Eukaryota, Metazoa, Chordata, Aves, Passeriformes, Viduidae. The record is from RefSeq and is a predicted model, not a curated record. The transcript is spliced from 2 exons.
GGGAGGGGAACGGCCGGGAGCGGAGCCCGGGAAUGGGAGGGGAACCGGAGGGGCCCGCCGGGAGCGGAGCGCAGCGCUGCGGCAGAGAACGGGACCCCGUGCAGCUCGGAACGGCCCGAGCGGGCAGGGCUCGGCUUUGGAGCUGCUGGUGCUCCAGGGCUGCAGCCCCUCUGCUCUGCAGCCAGGCUGGGAGAGCCGGGCGUGCCCGCCUGCAGAGGAGAAGGCUCCAGGGAGAGCUCAGAGCCCCUGCCAGGGCCUGAGGGCGGCUCAUGAAAAGAUGGAGAGUGACUUUUUAUACAGGCAGAUAGCGAUAGGACAAGGCAGAAUAGUUUUACACGGAAAGAAGUGAGGAAGAAGUUCCUCCCUGGGACAGUGCUGGCACAGGCUGCCCAGGGAAGCUGUGGCUGCCCCAUCCCUGCAAGUGCCCAAGGCCAGGUUGUCCCACCUGGGACAGUGAAGGGUGUCCCUGCCCAUGGCAGGGUGGAAUGAGAUGGGCUUUUAGAUCUUUUUCAACCCAAAUCAUUCCAUGAUUCCAAUAUUAUAAUCCCCCCAAAGGCAAAGUAUCUGCACACAGAGGGUUCAGAGGCCAUUCUUGGCUAGAGCUGAAACCACAGGGCAGUUAAUACAGAGUAAAUUAGUAUUUUGAUUUAAUAUUCUGCUGAUGGUUCUCAAGGCUGCCUGUUUAUAUUGAAUUGUGCUUCACUUUCAGCGACUCUGACAGCCCCACUCCUGGCUGAGAGAGAGGCUUUCAGCACAAAUACAGAUUUGUAGAAUCUUUGAGGCUGGAAAAGACCUCCAAGAUCAUCAAAUCCAACUGUGAUUGCAGUGAAAUCCUUUAGGGGUGCCAGGUACCCAGAGCACGGUGGGAGAGCCCUGGUGAUGCCUCAGGUUUUGGCUUUUAUAUUUUUCACAUUCUGUGCUGCUUUAGUGUGUGGGUCUGGGCUUCAUAUGAGGGGAUGGUGAGCUCUCUGCACAGAGCAGGGAGACAAAACAAUUCCUUCUCCAGUUGGGGACCAAGGACAAAUGAUCCAAAUCUCAGGCCCAAAAGCACAAACAACGUGGGCUGAAGAGAGAAAAACAAGCAGGAUGGGACUGCAUGGGCUAAAGCUGGAAUUGGACAAUUAACCCCAAUAUGCAAAUGGAGCACUUAGAAAAGUGAGAGCCCCCGGGAGCGCUCGUGCAUUUUGGGACCAUUUUGGUUCAUCUUGGGUGCAGCCCUGGCUGGGCUCUGGUGCUGCCCAAGGUGGAUCCAUUGAGGAGAUCCUUUUAAUAAAUCCCUGCUUUAUUCUUUGGCUGCAUCCAGCCUCUGCUCUAGGGCAGCCUUGAGGCAUCACUGGAGCCGAAUGUGCAGUGGUUGAUGAGCUGGCCAGGCUGUGCUGGCUCCCCAGGCACUCAUGAGCCCUCACAGCCUUGUUUGCCACCAGCCUGGCAGGGAGGUGGAGGGACAAUCCCAACACCCCACUGAGGGCAGCCACCCAUUCCCUCCCUGGCCCAGGGCACGGGUGUGCAGAACAAAAGCAUUUCACACCCUUCCUCGAGUUUUAUUUGUGAAGGUAAAAGCAUUUCACACCCGUUGCUGCAAACCCUGCGUCCUGCUGAUCCCUCUGUGCCCCCCUCAUACUCAGUCCUUUGCCUCCGAGGGAGCCAGGGCUGCCCAGCUGCCACACCCCGCAGGCUUCCAUCCCUCCUGGGUGCAGUCCUGCCCAGCUCUGGCCGGCUGUAAACGCUGUGAAUCUCAUUGUACAGCCGAGCUCGGGCUGCCUGGCUGACGGCAGGGACACUGCUGAAAACAAACAGGGGUUUUUUUUUUCCUCUUUGAUAAAAGAAAACAUUACCUCGCUGAGAUUUACACAGCAGAUCAAGCAUAAACCUGAAUUAUCUCCCUCCACUCUUUCUCCAGGGAGCAGAUAAUGUGUGGAUGUCUCCAUCCCUCUGCUUUGUUCCUCAUCAUCCAGCUUGGCAGCGUUUUGGUUGCUAUUAAACCACGCUCACACCCCUUGACAUUUAAAGGGCUGUUGUUUGAUCGCUGUCACAGUCCUGUAGGUGGAUCCUUCAACCAGUUCCCUCCUCCUGUUCCUACCAAUGAUGGAUUUUCUCGUUUACUCCACAGUAAUUUGCUUUUCUGUGCUCCAGCAGAACACUUUCACUGUCAGACGUGUGUUGUAGAUGCUGGCAAACCCAAUGGGGAGAAUGAUGAUGUCUAACUCCAGUUCAGAAGGCUGAAUUAUUUCUUUAUUAUAAUUAUGCUAUAAUAUAUUAAUAUACUAUAUAAAAGAGGAUACUCAAAACUACA